Molecule: ribosomal RNA, 490 nt
Filed under: uncultured bacterium
Lineage: Bacteria
Description: partial 16S ribosomal RNA
Rfam family: Bacterial small subunit ribosomal RNA
Source: RNAcentral
GAUGAGCGCUAGCUACAGGCUUAACACAUGCAAGUCGAGGGGCAGCAUGGUCUUAGCUUGCUAAGGCCGAUGGCGACCGGCGCACGGGUGAGUAACACGUAUCCAACCUGCCGUCUACUCUUGGACAGCCUUCUGAAAGGAGGAUUAAUACAAGAUGGCAUCAUGAGUCCGCAUGUUCACAUGAUUAAAGGUAUUCCGGUAGACGAUGGGGAUGCGUUCCAUUAGAUAGUAGGCGGGGUAACGGCCCACCUAGUCUUCGAUGGAUAGGGGUUCUGAGAGGAAGGUCCCCCACAUUGGAACUGAGACACGGUCCAAACGCCUACGGGAGGCAGCAGUGAGGAAGAUUGGUCAAUGGGCGAGAGCCUGAACCAGCCAAGUAGCGUGAAGGAUGACUGCCCUAUGGGUUGUAAACUUCUUUUAUAAAGGAAUAAAGUCGGGUAUGGAUACCCGUUUGCAUGUACUUUAUGAAUAAGGAUCGGCUAACUCCGUG